GGCAGCAGAAAUGAAGGGGAUGGUCCUUUUAUUGGAGGGGUACAGCGAGGCAGCAGUCUCCCCAGAGGGUCUGGUGGCAAAUAAAGAUGAACAUGUUCAACUGAUGGAUGAGAAGCACAUCCAGGCCCAGGAUUCCUUCUACUACUCUGGGACUCAAGCAGAUACAUGGCUUCUGUUCUUGAGGAAAUUGAGAAUGUAGAAGGAUGCAAACAUUCUAGACAUAAGCAUGAACCCAUUGACCCAACAAGUACAUGUUGAACACCUACAGUAUGCUAGACAGGCCCAGGUAAAUGGCUUGGCCCUGAAGACAUAGGUGAUAUUUUCAGAAUAAAAUUCUUCUCCCUUUCUCUUGUUUCCUUAACACUGGUAGUCAAACCAUUGACUGAUCAGUAUGUGCAGGUCCAUGAGCUUUCUGAAUGUAACCAUUGUAUUCCCCAGUCUACCCAAGUGAUGAGGAAAUAACAAGUUUUGGGUCUGAUUCCCAGAAUUCUUGAUAGAAAUAUACAAACGAGCCUCUUAAAUCUCUUCUUGCACAUGGAAAGCAAGCUAGCCAAGGAGAGACUUUCAUGGGUCAUUAGGUACCGUCCUGCUGCUCAAUGUACUUUUAAA
RNAcentral lists this long non-coding RNA (609 nucleotides) under Aotus nancymaae (Ma's night monkey). RNAcentral describes it as "lncRNA (ENSANAG00000039420.1)". The record is from RNAcentral. Lineage: Eukaryota; Metazoa; Chordata; Mammalia; Primates; Aotidae.